RNAcentral lists this transfer RNA (78 nucleotides) under Mycobacterium tuberculosis. RNAcentral describes it as "tRNA-fMet (CAT) (tRNA-fMet-CAT-1-1)". It matches the Rfam family "tRNA". From Rfam's summary of the family: Transfer RNA (tRNA) molecules are approximately 80 nucleotides in length. Their secondary structure includes four short double-helical elements and three loops (D, anti-codon, and T loops). Further hydrogen bonds mediate the characteristic L-shaped molecular structure. tRNAs have two regions of fundamental functional importance: the anti-codon, which is responsible for specific mRNA codon recognition, and the 3' end, to which the tRNAs corresponding amino acid is attached (by aminoacyl-tRNA synthetases). tRNAs cope with the degeneracy of the genetic code in two manners: having more than one tRNA (with a specific anti-codon) for a particular amino acid; and 'wobble' base-pairing, i.e. permitting non-standard base-pairing at the 3rd anti-codon position. The record is from RNAcentral. Lineage: Bacteria; Bacillati; Actinomycetota; Actinomycetes; Mycobacteriales; Mycobacteriaceae.
CGCGGGGUGGAGCAGCUCGGUAGCUCGCUGGGCUCAUAACCCAGAGGUCGCAGNNUUCGAAUCCUGUCCCCGCUACCA